ACUGGAAGGCCCGCCUCCGUUCCGAGCUUCCCAGGAUCAAAGUCUUCUCCGAGUACCGCCAUGCGUCCGGACCAGGCCACGUCCUGGUACCGGCGGAUGUCCGCGGUCUACGCGCUGGGCGCCUGGACACUGCUAGGCUCCUUGAUUUUUUUAGGCCGGAAAAAGAGCACAGUACCAGGUACGGUUCUCCGGCAGCCUUCGGUGAGGCGUCCCCAGGGGUUUAUAUAAGCGGUUUAGCUGUGCCGCAAGCACCGGGUUUAUUCUGCAAAACCAGUGGGAACGAUUGCUUAGAGCCAUUCGUUAUAAUGGAAUCCACCCGGAACUACUUUUUAAGUCCUCCUGCCUACGUCUUGUUGAUGGAGGCCGUUUUUACACUUAGAAUUUGAAGAAUCUAUUUAAGGCCCCAGAGGGAAUGUCAGACCCUGGACGGUGACUUAAAGAGGUGAUGCCUCGGUUACAUUAGCCCCCGUUGUAGUUGGCGAGCAAACACUUCAGCACCCCCGCCAGCCGAGUACUAAAACCUUCCCAGUUACUGGGCGGAAAAGGAAAUCCCUGAGCCUUCAGAAAUAUGCUGGAAAUCUAUAGAUAUCUGUAAGACUUUCUGGUUGCCUGGGGCUGAAGGGAAGGGGGGGCGGGGCUUGCCAAACGGAAUGGGGUUUCUUUUUGUGAAUGAAAGCCAUUUAGUGGUACAUUUCAAAGGAGUUAAUUGUACGAUAUGUUAAGUAUAUCUGGAUAAAGCUGUUAGGUGAUAACUGCUGAAGAUUACAUUGGUGAUGACGAUUAUCAGUGGCCUGAGAAUACUAGUGUCCAGUAUUGAGCAUUUGAAAACAUUGCAGUGUCUGUAGUGCUCAUGUCAUAUUUAUUUUUUCCUUUUACAGAAAGGAAAUACAGUGUCAGAAAUCUGAUGGGGGUGGGGGUAGUUCUCACCUCAGUUUAUUUGAUUUCUGAGGCUUGACUAAUAAUUUUAAGGACGGAUUGCUGUCUUAAAAGUUCAUCAUUCAGGUGUUCCAUUUUUUUGAAAGGCAAUGAAGUAGAGCAAAAGGAUGUCGCAAGAAAUGAAAUGCUCGAGCCGCCGAAAGGGUUUUACGUGGAAACAAUUGUCACAUAUAAAGAAGAUUUUGUUCCAGUCACUGACAGGAUCCUCAACUUUUGGAAAUCAUGGACUGGUGGCCCUGGACCAGAAUCCUGAUUAACUGCUGAAAGCUGAAAACCGGGACUGGGUUCAGCAUAUACAUUUGAUGGAUGCCUUAAUUUCCAGUUUAUGUUUGUGAAAAGUGUAUCCAUUUAAUUUAAAUUUUGCUGUGAAAUAUAAUCACUAGUAAUAUGCAAUAAAUAUUUCCUUGAAGAAAAGUA
RNAcentral lists this long non-coding RNA (1353 nucleotides) under Lynx pardinus (Iberian lynx). The record is from RNAcentral. Lineage: Eukaryota; Metazoa; Chordata; Mammalia; Carnivora; Felidae.